RNAcentral lists this ribosomal RNA (115 nucleotides) under uncultured bacterium. Its description in RNAcentral is "partial 16S ribosomal RNA". It matches the Rfam family "Bacterial small subunit ribosomal RNA", at positions 1369 to 1482 of the family's 1533-position model. The record is from RNAcentral.
CGUUCCCGGGCCUUGUACACACCGCCCGUCACACCACGAAAGUUGGUAACACCCGAAGCCGGUGGCCCAACCCUUGUGGAGGGAGCCGUCGAAGGUGGGAUCAGCGAUUGGGGUG